GUACAUAGCAAAAUACACAUAGCAAAAUUUAAUAGGACACCGAUAUGUUAAAAUAGUCUCAAUUGGUGCUGUAACACGUAUUUCGGGAGUACACUAUACCGCAAUGAGGCCGGUAUGGAUUUUCGUAGCAAUAUUGAUCUCCGUUCAGUUAGAUUUCAUAGUGACAAUGGAACCUGAACUCCAGAAAUUCAGGAAUUUGGUGAAUAGUUGUACAAAAAAGUGCAAGGAAAAGAAAUGCCAUCAUCCGGGUGGCGUACUUGUUAGCGAUCGGGGGUGCGACGGUUACUGUGAGGGCAAAGUGGACAAAUAUAGAGAUGAUUGGGAGAAGAACGUCUGCAAGGAUUAAAAUUGUGAAUUAGUUUUGUUAGAAGGGAUAUUAUUUUAUUUACGUAUAUUCCUUUAAAUAAUAUUAAGCAGAUUCAUAUAAACUGACAUUUGUGUCGAUAUGUUCCUCUGACACAACUAUUGUUGUUGUUGUUGUUAAUCCUUUAUUCACGUGUCAACAGAGAUCAAUUCAACUAAUCUGGAACCAUGCACAUAUGUAUUUAUAAGAGACGAAAAUUACGAAAUAUAUGAAGAGUAAAUGAAAUAAAUGUAUUGAAUACU
Molecule: long non-coding RNA, 606 nt
Organism: Folsomia candida
Lineage: Eukaryota; Metazoa; Arthropoda; Collembola; Entomobryomorpha; Isotomidae
Exons: 3
Source: RefSeq, a predicted model, not a curated record